Molecule: long non-coding RNA, 1644 nt
Filed under: Homo sapiens (human)
Lineage: Eukaryota; Metazoa; Chordata; Mammalia; Primates; Hominidae
Description: HSALNT0090127
Rfam family: Metazoan signal recognition particle RNA (bases 92-208)
Source: RNAcentral
GAAUAGUGUUUUAAGUCAAGAAAACAGUAUAUAGCAAAGUUUCUGUGAUAGUGGAGGUCAAGGAGUAUAAUAUGUAUUAAAAAUUUUGCAGGCCGGGUGCGGUGGCCCACGCCUGUAAUCCCAGCACUCUGGGAGGCCGAGGCAGGGAGAUCACCUGAGGUCAGGAGUUCGAGACCAGCCUGGCCAACAUGGUGAAACCCUGUCUCUAUUAAAAAUACAAAAAUUAGCCAGGCAUGGUGGCGGGCACCUAUACUUCCAGCUACUUGGGAGGCUGACACAGGAGGACUGCUUGAACCCGGGAAUUGGAAGUUGCAAUGAGCCAAGACUGCGCCAUUGCACUCCAGCCUGGGCAACAAGAGUGAAACUCCAUCUCAAAACAACAACAACAACAACAAAUUUUGCAGCUGGUCUGAGUGCAGUGGUGUUUACAACUAAUUGAUCACAACCAGUUACAGAUUUCUUUGUUCCUUCUCCACUCCCACUGCUUCACUUGACUAACCUUUGAAAAACAUGAGCUUUUGCUCUAAUAUGUUAUAUAGGUGUGGCUGGGGUUAGAAGGGCUCUAGAUAGACUGGUUAGGAGGUUAUUAAAUUAGACAAAGUUUGGCUGAAUGAUAUGGAGAAGAUGGAAGACACUGGAGAGUUCUGACAGAAUUGAGGGAUGGUGUGGGCAUGGAGGAGAGAGAGAGCUGUCAUGGAUGACUUCUGCCUUUCAGGCUUGUUCAACCAGAUGACUAGCUCACUGGGAUACGGGACCAUAGAAACCAAGUUAGGAGUAUCAGUGAGUGUGGGGAGUGGGGAGAGCAUGAACUCAUGUUAAGUUUGGAUGGCUUUGAGAAUCCCAGGAGGACAAGGCAAGUUGUGAGUUGUAUAAUCGAGUUUGAAACCUGAGGACACAGAGCCUUGCACUGGAGAUAUAAAUUUGUGAGUCCUCUCUGUGUGGAUGGUGAUGAAGAAAUUGAAUAGAGCACCUGGGAAGAUAAUAUUUUAUAAUGAAUUUAAAUAAAUGUUUUUGCUUUCCUUUGAGGAUGUGUCUUUUAAGCUUUGUCUCCAAGUACAGCAUAUAUCACUUUGAUUCCUGAUCAAGGUCUUUCAGGUUUUAGAGCAGGUGGAUAAACUCAUGAACCUGGGCAGAAAUGUCCCUAAAAUUAUACCACAUAAUUCAAUCCUGCUGGGCUUGUUUAAAAGUUAACUGAAAAGACAUGAAAGUUUUUGGUGUGUGUGUGUGUGUGUGUGUGUGUGUGUGUGUGUGUUUUGCAAGUGGCGGGUGGUGCAGGGGAAACAGGGUUUCGCUUUGUCACCUAGGCUGGAGUGCAGUGACGUGAACAUGGCUCACUGCAACCUUGACCUCUUUGGCUCAAGAAAUCCUCUGCCUCAGCUUCCUGUGUAGCUGGGACCGCAGGUGCACAUCACCACACCCAGCUAAUUCUUUUUUUAUUUUUUUCGUAGAGAUGGGCUCUUGCUGUGUUGCCUAGGCUGGUCUCGAACUCCUGACCUCAAGCAAUUCACUCGCUUUGGCCUCCCAAAGUGCUGGGAUUACAGGCAUGAGCCACUAUGUCCAGCCUGAAAGAUAUUUUUUUGAAUAUUUAGGAAAAAUCAAAUUUAGCUGUCUGCUUGGGAGGCAGAUAGUAUGCAUGGAGAGAAG